RNAcentral lists this ribosomal RNA (1446 nucleotides) under uncultured organism. RNAcentral's name for it is "SSU rRNA". It matches the Rfam family "Bacterial small subunit ribosomal RNA". The record is from RNAcentral.
GAACGCUAGCUACAGGCUUAACACAUGCAAGUCGAGGGGCAGCAUCAUCAAAGCUUGCUUUGAUGGAUGGCGACCGGCGCACGGGUGAGUAACACGUAUCCAACCUGCCGACAACACUGGGAUAGCCUUUCGAAAGAAAGAUUAAUACCGGAUGGCAUAGUUUUCCCCGCAUGGGAUGACUAUUAAAGAAUUUCGGUUGUCGAUGGGGAUGCGUUCCAUUAGGCAGUUGGCGGGGUAACGGCCCACCAAACCGACGAUGGAUAGGGGUUCUGAGAGGAAGGUCCCCCACAUUGGAACUGAGACACGGUCCAAACUCCUACGGGAGGCAGCAGUGAGGAAUAUUGGUCAAUGGACGAGAGUCUGAACCAGCCAAGUAGCGUGAAGGAUGACUGCCCUAUGGGUUGUAAACUUCUUUUAUACGGGAAUAAAGUUAGCCACGUGUGGCUUUUUGUAUGUACCGUAUGAAUAAGGAUCGGCUAACUCCGUGCCAGCAGCCGCGGUAAUACGGAGGAUCCGAGCGUUAUCCGGAUUUAUUGGGUUUAAAGGGAGCGUAGGCGGGUUGUUAAGUCAGUUGUGAAAGUUUGCGGCUCAACCGUAAAAUUGCAGUUGAUACUGGCGACCUUGAGUGCAACAGAGGUAGGCGGAAUUCGUGGUGUAGCGGUGAAAUGCUUUAGAUAUCACGAAGAACUCCGAUUGCGAAGGCAGCUUACUGGAUUGUAACUGACGCUGAUGCUCGAAAGUGUGGGUAUCAAACAGGAUUAGAUACCCUGGUAGUCCACACAGUAAACGAUGAAUACUCGCUGUUGGCGAUAUACAGUCAGCGGCCAAGCGAAAGCAUUAAGUAUUCCACCUGGGGAGUACGCCGGCAACGGUGAAACUCAAAGGAAUUGACGGGGGCCCGCACAAGCGGAGGAACAUGUGGUUUAAUUCGAUGAUACGCGAGGAACCUUACCCGGGCUUAAAUUGCAACUGACUGAACCGGAAACGGUUCUUUCUUCGGACAGUUGUGAAGGUGCUGCAUGGUUGUCGUCAGCUCGUGCCGUGAGGUGUCGGCUUAAGUGCCAUAACGAGCGCAACCCUUAUCGAUAGUUACUAGCAGGUCAUGCUGAGGACUCUAUUGAGACUGCCGUCGUAAGAUGUGAGGAAGGUGGGGAUGACGUCAAAUCAGCACGGCCCUUACGUCCGGGGCUACACACGUGUUACAAUGGGGGGUACAGAAGGCAGCUACACGGCGACGUGGUGCUAAUCCCGAAAGCCUCUCUCAGUUCGGAUUGGAGUCUGCAACCCGACUCCAUGAAGCUGGAUUCGCUAGUAAUCGCGCAUCAGCCACGGCGCGGUGAAUACGUUCCCGGGCCUUGUACACACCGCCCGUCAAGCCAUGAAAGCCGGGGGUACCUGAAGUACGUAACCGCAAGGAGCGUCCUAGGGUAAAACUGGUGAUUGGGG